This 1426-nucleotide ribosomal RNA is filed under the name human gut metagenome. RNAcentral's name for it is "bacterial LSU rRNA". It matches the Rfam family "Bacterial large subunit ribosomal RNA", at positions 495 to 1999 of the family's 2925-position model. The record is from RNAcentral.
GCAGUACCGUGAGGGAAAGGUGAAAAGGACCCCGGGAGGGGAGUGAAAGAGAACCUGAAACCUUGUGCUUACAAGCAGUCAGAGCGCGUUAAAGCGUGAUGGCGUACUUUUUGUAGAACGGUCCGGCGAGUUAUAGUAACGAGCAAGCUUAAGGUAUUCAGUACCGGAGGCGCAGCGAAAGCGAGUCUGAAAAGGGCGCAUGAAGUUCGUUGCCAUAGACCCGAAACCGGGUGACCUACGCAUGAGCAGGUUGAAGUGGGGGUGAAACCCCAUGGAGGACCGAACCGACCCCCGUUGCAAUGGUGGCGGAUGACUUGUGUGUAGCGGUGAAAUUCCAAUCGAACUCGGAGAUAGCUGGUUCUCCCCGAAAUAGCUUUAGGGCUAGCGUUGUGUUAGAUUACCGGAGGUAAAGCACUGAAUGGUUUAGGGGCUGAUAAAGUUACCGACGCCUAUCAAACUCUGAAUGCCGGAUAAUUGAUGCACAGCAGUCAGACAGUGUGAGAUAAGUUUCAUUGUCAAAAGGGAAACAGCCCAGACCUACAGCUAAGGUCCCAAAUGUAUGCUAAGUGGAAAACGAUGUGGAAUUGCGAAAACAACCAGGAUGUUGGCUCAGAAGCAGCCACACAUUAAAAGAGUGCGUAAUAGCUCACUGGUCGAGUGACUCUGCGCGGAAAAUGUAACGGGGCUAAGCAUACAACCGAAGCUUAGGAUUGUCAAAAGACAGUGGUAGGGGAGCGUUCUGUACGGGGCGAAGUCGCAGCGGGAGCAGCGGUGGACUGUACAGAAGUGAGAAUGCCGGAAUGAGUAGCGAGAAUUAUGUGGGAAUCAUAAUGGCCGAAAAUCUAAGGUUUCUUGGGGAAGGUUCGUCCGCCCAAGGUAAGUCGGGAGCUAAGCUGAGGCCGAGAGGCGUAGGCGAUGCACAUACGGUAGAAAUUCCGUAACCACCGAACUUUAAGCAUGAGGGACACUUUGAGAUAGCGGGACCCGGGCGUUGGUAGACCCGGGCGAAAGGGACCGAAAUAUAGUAGGGAAGUCCGCGAUGCUCGGAGGCGAGAAAAGCUCAUGUGUAUACUAAGGUGCCCGUACCGCAAACCGACACAGGUAGAUGAGGAGAGAAUCCUAAGGCCAACGGGAGAAGGGUUGUUAAGGAACUCGGCAAGAUGACCCCGUAACUUCGGAAGAAGGGGAGCCUCGAAAGAGGCCGCAGUGAAUAGGCCCAAGCAACUGUUUACCAAAAACACAGGUUUAUGCUAAAUCGAAAGAUGACGUAUAUGAGCUGACGCCUGCCCGGUGCCGGAAGGUUAAGAGGAGAUGUGAGCCGCAAGGUGAAGCAUUGAAUUGAAGCCCCGGUAAACGGCGGCCGUAACUAUAACGGUCCUAAGGUAGCGAAAUUCCUUGUCAGGUAAGUUCUGACCCGCACGAAAGG